GAUGGUAUAGCUCAGUGGUAGAGUGCAUGCUUAGCAUGCACGAGGUCCUGGGUUCAAUCCCCAGUCCUUCCA
RNAcentral lists this transfer RNA (72 nucleotides) under Camelus dromedarius (Arabian camel). It matches the Rfam family "tRNA". From Rfam's summary of the family: Transfer RNA (tRNA) molecules are approximately 80 nucleotides in length. Their secondary structure includes four short double-helical elements and three loops (D, anti-codon, and T loops). RNAcentral also lists the same sequence under 1 other name. The record is from Rfam by way of RNAcentral. Lineage: Eukaryota; Metazoa; Chordata; Mammalia; Artiodactyla; Camelidae.